Molecule: long non-coding RNA, 501 nt
Filed under: Rattus norvegicus (Norway rat)
Lineage: Eukaryota; Metazoa; Chordata; Mammalia; Rodentia; Muridae
Description: long non-coding RNA NONRATT034042
Source: RNAcentral
AGUUCAGGUCAUGCCUUGACCCCCUCUCCAGCUGUGACUCAGGGCAGUGCCACUCAGCAAGCCCUACUGUGGGUGCUGAACUGGAGGGACGCCAUUAAAUAGAACUGGCUGGGCUUGGACCGACGCCAGGCCGCCCCACAUUCUCCUCUGGAGGGGUCAGGAGCCAGGUUCAGUUGCCAGCUUCAGGCUUUGGUGACUUAGAGUCUGGAGGCCAGGGCAGGGCAGGUCCCCCAAGUGGCUGAGGGCACGGGAUCAAAGGCCGCAGAAUGGCCCUGGAGAGAGUUAAGCUGGGACCGGGCCCAAGUCACCUUCUGGCCAGGAUCCCCCACAGGCUCUGGCCACAGCCUUGUGGCAGCAGACCGAUCACGUGAAACUGCCUACAGCCGUUCCUCCGGGCUCUCUGGUUUGGGUUACUUGUCUGUUUUCUUUCUCCUGUAGGCCAGGUGGCUUCCAACUCACAGACAUCUGCUCACCUGUGCUGAGAUUAAAGGUGUGGCACCA